GACGAACGCUGGCGGCGUGCCUAAUACAUGCAAGUUGAGCGCUGAAGGUUGGUACUUGUACCAACUGGAUGAGCAGCGAACGGGUGAGUAACGCGUGGGGAAUCUGCCUUUGAGCGGGGGACAACAUUUGGAAACGAAUGCUAAUACCGCAUAAAAACUUUAAACACAAGUUUUAAGUUUGAAAGAUGCAAUUGCAUCACUCAAAGAUGAUCUCGCGUUGUAUUAGCUAGUUGGUGAGGUAAAGGCUCACCAAGGCGAUGAUACAUAGCCGACCUGAGAGGGUGAUCGGCCACAUUGGGACUGAGACACGGCCCAAACUCCUACGGGAGGCAGCAGUAGGGAAUCUUCGGCAAUGGACGAAAGUCUGACCGAGCAACGCCGCGUGAGUGAAGAAGGUUUUUGGAUCGUAAAACUCUGUUGGUAGAGAAGAACGUUGGUGAGAGUGGAAAGCUCAUCAAGUGACGGUAACUACCCAGAAAGGGACGGCUAACUACGUG
This 497-nucleotide ribosomal RNA is filed under the name uncultured bacterium. RNAcentral describes it as "partial 16S ribosomal RNA". It matches the Rfam family "Bacterial small subunit ribosomal RNA", at positions 28 to 507 of the family's 1533-position model. The record is from RNAcentral.